RNAcentral lists this ribosomal RNA (253 nucleotides) under uncultured bacterium. RNAcentral's name for it is "partial 16S ribosomal RNA". It matches the Rfam family "Bacterial small subunit ribosomal RNA", at positions 524 to 776 of the family's 1533-position model. The record is from RNAcentral.
GACAGAGGGUGCUAGCGUUGUUCGGAAUCACUGGGCGUAAAGAGUGCGUAGGCGGUCCUGUAAGUUUGGUGUGAAAUCUCCCGGCUCAACUGGGAGGGUGCGCCGAAGACUGCAGGGCUUGAGUAUGGGAGAGGUAAGCGGAAUUCCUGGUGUAGCGGUGAAAUGCGUAGAUAUCUGGAGGAACACCGGUGGCGAAGGCGGCAUCCUGGACCAACACUGACACUGAGGAGCGAAAGCCAGGGGAGCAAACGGG